Molecule: ribosomal RNA, 371 nt
Filed under: uncultured bacterium
Lineage: Bacteria
Description: bacterial SSU rRNA
Rfam family: Bacterial small subunit ribosomal RNA
Source: RNAcentral
AGAGGGGGCAAGCGUUAUUCGGAAUUAUUGGGCGUAAAGGGCGCGUAGGCGGCUUGGCAAGUGGAAGGUGAAAUCCCUCGGCUUAACCGAGGAACUGCCUUCCAGACUGCUUUGCUUGAGGCCGGGAGAGGUGAGUGGAAUUCCCAGUGUAGCGGUGAAAUGCGUAGAUAUUGGGAGGAACACCAGUGGCGAAGGCGGCUCACUGGACCGGUUCUGACGCUGAGGCGCGAAAGCGUGGGGAGCAAACGGGAUUAGAUACCCCGGUAGUCCACGCCGUAAACGAUGAGUGCUUGGUGUAGCGGGUAUCGACCCCUGCUGUGCCGAAGUCAACACAUUAAGCACUCCGCCUGGGGAGUACGGUCGCAAGGCUG